This 324-nucleotide ribosomal RNA is filed under the name uncultured bacterium. RNAcentral's name for it is "bacterial SSU rRNA". It matches the Rfam family "Bacterial small subunit ribosomal RNA", at positions 28 to 334 of the family's 1533-position model. The record is from RNAcentral.
GACGAACGCUGGCGGCAUGCUUAACACAUGCAAGUCGAACGGAGCACCCUUGACAGAGACUUCGGUCAAUUGAUAGGAAUGCUUAGUGGCGGACGGGUGAGUAACGCGUGAGCAACCUGCCUUGGAGUGGGGGACAACAGUUGGAAACGACUGCUAAUACCGCAUGACACAUUUGGAUCGCAUGGUCCGGAUGUCAAAGAUUUAUCGCUCUGAGAUGGGCUCGCGUCCGAUUAGCUGGUUGGUGAGGUAACGGCCCACCAAGGCAACGAUCGGUAGCCGGACUGAGAGGUUGAACGGCCACAUUGGGACUGAGACACGGCCCAG